Molecule: ribosomal RNA, 449 nt
Filed under: uncultured bacterium
Lineage: Bacteria
Description: partial 16S ribosomal RNA
Rfam family: Bacterial small subunit ribosomal RNA
Source: RNAcentral
AGCGAACGCUGGCGGCAGGCCUAACACAUGCAAGUCGAACGAGGUCUUCGGACCUAGUGGCGGACGGGUGAGUAACACGUGGGAACGUGCCCUUUGGUACGGAAUAACUCAGGGAAACUUGAGCUAACACCGUAUGUGCCCUUCGGGGGAAAGAUUUAUCGCCAUUGGAGCGGCCCGCGUCUGAUUAGCUAGUUGGUGAGGUAAUGGCUCACCAAGGCGACGAUCAGUAGCUGGUCUGAGAGGAUGACCAGCCACAUUGGGACUGAGACACGGCCCAAACUCCUACGGGAGGCAGCAGUGGGGAAUCUUGCGCAAUGGGCGAAAGCCUGACGCAGCCAUGCCGCGUGGAUGAUGAAGGUCUUAGGAUUGUAAAAUCCUUUCACCGGUGAAGAUAAUGACUGUAGCCGGAGAAGAAGCCCCGGCUAACUUCGUGCCAGCCGCCGCGGUAA